Long non-coding RNA from Schistocerca cancellata (South American locust), 1491 nucleotides. RefSeq lists it as uncharacterized. NCBI's taxonomy places the organism in Eukaryota, Metazoa, Arthropoda, Insecta, Orthoptera, Acrididae. The record is from RefSeq and is a predicted model, not a curated record. The transcript has 2 exons.
GUUCAUGUACAAAGCUCCAUGUAAAAUUUUAGAUUUAGGAGCUGGAACUCUGUCCAGAUCAUCAGUUAAUUUAUUAAACAGGUGUCCACAUUUUCACUACAUGAGUAGUACACAUAGAAUUAACUUUUUAUGGAUGUCAAGUUAUCUUUAAAAUAUGUCCCAUCUCUGAUAUACGUGCACAAUUCCCUGUCGUCUAUGGCUGACUUAAGUAACAGCUUACCCUUUUAUAUGAUGAGAUUAUUAUUUGAUUUCAGUGUUCUACACCAGUAGAACAUACCUGCAAACUCUACAGAGACAGCAAUUCAACUUCAGGCUGUUGUAUUUGUAUUUUAGUUUUAACAGUUGCACUUGCUGAUGAAUUAAUAAUUCCUUGUACAUUUUUGUGGUGUUUCUCAUGUUACUGAUUGUCAUGCCCAACAUGAUCUCCGGGUGGGGACUACUCAAGAGGACGUCGUUAUCGGGAGAAAGAAAACUGGCAUUCUAUGGAUCGGAGCAUGGAAUGUCAGAUCCCUUAAUCGGGCAGCUUUAGGUGAGACUAUUCUAUCAUACUCACAGUGAAAAUUUGAAAAAUGAAGGAGGUGAUGACAGGAACUGCAAAGGUAAAGGAUGCUGUAGGAAGUGUAACAGUCAGUGUAGAUCCUCAGCAACAUGUGAAAUUUGAACAAAAUUCAUUUACAAAGACUGUCCCAAGGGAUGUAUAUAACAGAGUGAAAAAGCAUCUUUGGGAUGGUGUGUCACCGCUGUUUGUGUCUGAGGACAGAGAAGCACAAAGAUCAGUCCAAAACUGACUGGUUAUGAGUUUGUCUUUGUUGUCAUUAAUGAAAAACUCUAGUAUCAUUAUCUUUCUGUGUAAUGUUAGUGAUUUAACUGCUGGCAUAAAACAUCUCUGUUUCUCAUUAGGAUGUAAAAGAAUAUAACAAUAACAUCUUGGUCUUCCAUUGAAUGAAACAGAUAACUAGUUAAUUGUUGGCAAGAAAUUAUUUUUGUGCUGCAUAUGUUACUUUAGGUACAUUGUUGUAAUAACAGUAAGAGACUUUGCUUGCAAUAUACCCUUGAAUAAUUACUCCAUAAAUGAAUUACUCCUCUCUCUCUCUCUCUCUCUCUCUCUCUCUCUCUCUCUCUCUCUCUCUCUCUCUCUCCCCCCCUCUCCCCCCUUCCCUCCCUUCCUUCCUCACCAUCUCCCCCCCCCCUCCUCCUUUUUGGUUUUUGGCACAGUGGCAUACAAGUAGUAUAAAAUGCUGUAUUGGCAAAGAUAUGUAUCUGUGAACAGUAGCACAUAAGAAAAUAUUUUGUGAAUUGUAAUUUCUGUGUAAUCUAUGAGACAGCAUUUGACCAGCUUUUAGCUCUGCUGAUGAAACCACUUACGAAUUGUGACAAUUGUGCACUAACACAUGCAGUCUUUAUUGGGCCCUUGACCCAUGAAAUACAUCACUAACUGAAACUGAAGUUGUUUUCACCAACUGUGGGAAGAAUAAAACAAAUGUUAAUGUA